RNAcentral lists this ribosomal RNA (253 nucleotides) under uncultured bacterium. Its description in RNAcentral is "partial 16S ribosomal RNA". It matches the Rfam family "Bacterial small subunit ribosomal RNA", at positions 524 to 776 of the family's 1533-position model. The record is from RNAcentral.
UACGGAGGGUGCAAGUGUUAUUCGGAAUCACUGGGCGUAAAGAGCACGUAGGCGGAUAGGCAAGUCAGGCGUGAAAGCCCGGGGCUCAACCCCGGAACUGCGUUUGAUACUGUCUGUCUUGAGUAUGGUAGAGGGGGAUGGAAUUCCCGGUGUAGAGGUGAAAUUCGUAGAUAUCGGGAGGAACACCAGAGGCGAAGGCGAUCCCCUGGGCCAUUACUGACGCUGAGGUGCGAAAGCGUGGGGAGCAAACAGG